AUCGAGAAUGCAGACUCUCCCCCGACCCCGAUCUUGCCUCGCCCUCUCUUUCUUUUCUUCUCUCCUUCUCCUUCGCCUCCGCCCGAGCUGCUCCUUCUCCUCCGUCUCCACCCCCGAGCUGCCCUCGCCCUUUCUCUUUCUCAUCCUGAAGAUCUAUUGCAUCCUCACCGUGCAGAUCGUCCUCACUGUCGCGGUCUGUGCCGUCGUAGUGGCCGUUCAUCGCUGACUUCUUAGUCACGACAACCUGGAAUCACCAUCUCCAUUGUCAGCCGUGUCCUGCCUUUCAUCAUUGAGUACUACUCUCAUUUCCUUCCCGUGUUUCCUGCAAAAAAAUUGCCACUUUCCGUCUCUUCCUGUUGUGCCUCUAUCGAUUCAUCUGUUGCACCCUUCCCCCAUUUCUGAUUCAACUUUCCAGAUAUUCUUGACGAUUUUUGUCGUUUUUGUUGUCUUCCUUUCUAACUUUUAGCUUAUUGGUCAUGGAUAAUCUUGGAUUCACUGAAUGUAUUCUUGCGUGAAUCUGCUGCUAGUUCUUGAUUUCUAAGAAAUUUACUGAUUGAAUUGAUUUUUUUCUUUCUUUUUGGUUGGUUCAGUUUUGAUCCCCUUGCACAUCUGUCGGUAAAAGCACCCGUUCAAUUUUGUUAUAUGUUCCCUAACAACCACAAACGAACUGAAAGUUUACUUGAAGCAGAGCAACUCAUGGAAGGACCUAGGUGUAGUCCCUGUGGAAGCGAAUCAUAGCAGAGGAUGUGGCAUUGUUUUCAAAUCUCUAGGUGAUAGGCUUCUUGUUAUUGGUGCAGCUUGGAAUCUUGUGGAUCAUCACAGCCAAGGCAUAUCAUUUUUUUGUUGUCAGCAUGAUCCCAAUGCAAUAGAUGCUCACUGGGUUUUUCUUGGGAGGACAGAUUCUUGAUGGCUGAAGACUCAAGUAGCUUAAUCGCAUCAAGCACAAACGUGCAAACGGUGCGUCCUCUGUCAGGCUUCUGACGAGAUUAGCAGCUUCAUGUUUUAGAAUGAAUGUCGCCGGCGUCCUUUCCCCCCAGAAUUUGGCGUCAAGGAAUCAUGUGUUCUUGCUAAUUUUGAAGGGAAGAUCAACAACAGCUCUUGGUCACACAAUUCAUCUGAGUUUGACGAAUCUCUACAUUUCAAGUACUGUGUGAGUCUGUGAUCGUAGCUGCUAUAAAAGAAAGUGUAACCUAUGGCCUAUACGCAAUCCCCAAGAACAAGAGAAUGAGCGAGAGAGGAAAUAGACAGCCUUGGUUGCUUACCAUUUGUCAUCAUGAAGGCGGAGCCUUUUCUUCAGCACUUUAUUGAAGAACAAAAGGGCAAGAAGAAAAAAAAGAAGGAAAUUGUAAUGUUGCUACUCUUGUCUCUAUGUGUCCCAAUCACAUAUCAUAGACGAAAUUUCGUUUUUUAUAAUGAUUAUAAAAUUUGUGGAGUGAAUAUAAUGAUUGUUUGGUCGUAAUUGGAUAUAUAUUAUCAAAUUUGUUUACUUGAAUUCGGGUUUGAAUAUAAUGUCAUAAUGCA
This is a long non-coding RNA of Nymphaea colorata (pocket water lily), 1521 nucleotides long. RefSeq lists it as uncharacterized. The transcript has 3 exons. Lineage: Eukaryota; Viridiplantae; Streptophyta; Magnoliopsida; Nymphaeales; Nymphaeaceae. The record is from RefSeq and is a predicted model, not a curated record.